AUUGAACGCUGGCGGCAGGCCUAACACAUGCAAGUCGAACGGUAACAGGAAGAAGCUUGCUUCUUUGCUGACGAGUGGCGGACGGGUGAGUAAUGUCUGGGAAACUGCCUGAUGGAGGGGGAUAACUACUGGAAACGGUAGCUAAAACCGCAUAACGUCGCAAGACCAAAGAGGGGGACUUUCGGGCCUCUUGCCAUCGGAUGUGCCCAGAUGGGAUUAGCUAGUAGGUGGGGUAACGGCUCACCUAGGCGACGAUCCCUAGCUGGUCUGAGAGGAUGACCAGCCACACUGGAACUGAGACACGGUCCAGACUCCUACGGGAGGCAGCAGUGGGGAAUAUUGCACAAUGGGCGAAAGCCUGAUGCAGCCAUGCCGCGUGUAUGAAGAAGGCCUUCGGGUUGUAAAGUACUUUCAGCGGGGAGGAAGGGAGUAAAGUUAAUACCUUUGCUCAUUGACGUUACCCGCAGAAGAAGCACCGGCUAACUCCGUG
Molecule: ribosomal RNA, 490 nt
Filed under: uncultured bacterium
Lineage: Bacteria
Description: partial 16S ribosomal RNA
Rfam family: Bacterial small subunit ribosomal RNA
Source: RNAcentral